UGAUUCGCGAUAUCUGGAUGAUGAUGAGGGACGGAGGGGUUGUCCACACGAAGCACGUGUUUAGAGAAGCUAAUGGAGCUACAAAUUGGGUGGCCACGUAUGUGGCUAACCAUGCCAAUAGCAUCCUGUGGGCGGGGGAUGCAGAGCUGCUUUAGGAGCUCCGUGAUAUUUUGUUUUCCGAUUUUAUUAGGUGCAUCCGUACAUGUGUUAUAUGAAUCACCCGGUAGCGGAAAAAAAAAAGAGCUACCUCCAAACCCAACUUAUUAUCUACUUUCAAAAAUAA
RNAcentral lists this long non-coding RNA (283 nucleotides) under Phoenix dactylifera (date palm). RNAcentral's name for it is "long non-coding RNA (PDAC_LNC005090)". Lineage: Eukaryota; Viridiplantae; Streptophyta; Magnoliopsida; Arecales; Arecaceae. The record is from RNAcentral.